UACGUAGGGUGCGAGCGUUGUCCGGAAUUACUGGGCGUAAAGAGCUCGUAGGUGGUUUGUCGCGUCGUCUGUGAAAUUCCGGGGCUUAACUUCGGGCGUGCAGGCGAUACGGGCAAUACUUGAGUGCUGUAGGGGAGACUGGAAUUCCUGGUGUAGCGGUGGAAUGCGCAGAUAUCAGGAGGAACACCGAUUGCGAAGGCAGGUCUCUGGGCCACUACUGACGCUGAGAAGCGAAAGCAUGGGGAGCGAACAGGAUUAGA
RNAcentral lists this ribosomal RNA (260 nucleotides) under uncultured prokaryote. Its description in RNAcentral is "partial 16S ribosomal RNA". It matches the Rfam family "Bacterial small subunit ribosomal RNA", at positions 524 to 782 of the family's 1533-position model. The record is from RNAcentral.